AGAGUUUGAUCCUGGCUCAGGAUGAACGCUAGCGACAGGCUUAACACAUGCAAGUCGAGGGGCAGCACGGGAGUAGCAAUACAACUGGUGGCGACCGGCGCACGGGUGAGUAACGCGUAUGCAACCUACCUAUCAGAGGGGAAUAACCCGGCGAAAGUCGGACUAAUACCGCAUAAAACAGGGGCACCGCAUGGUGAUAUUUGUUAAAGAGAUUCGCUGAUAGAUGGGCAUGCGUUCCAUUAGGUAGUUGGUGAGGUAACGGCUCACCAAGCCGACGAUGGAUAGGGGAACUGAGAGGUUGGUCCCCCACACUGGUACUGAGACACGGACCAGACUCCUACGGGAGGCAGCAGUGAGGAAUAUUGGUCAAUGGGCGGGAGCCUGAACCAGCCAAGUCGCCGUGAAGGAAGAAGGAUCUAUGGUUCGUAAACUUCUUUUGCAGGGGAAUAAAGCGCAGGACGUGUCCUGUUUUGUAUGUACCCUGAGAAUAAGGAUCGGCUAACUCCGUGCCAGCAGCGGC
Molecule: ribosomal RNA, 520 nt
Filed under: uncultured bacterium
Lineage: Bacteria
Description: bacterial SSU rRNA
Rfam family: Bacterial small subunit ribosomal RNA
Source: RNAcentral